This 274-nucleotide ribosomal RNA is filed under the name uncultured bacterium. RNAcentral describes it as "partial 16S ribosomal RNA". The record is from RNAcentral.
GAAUCAGCUCUGUACUCCGAAUGCAUCUAUAUUAAGUUUGAUCAUUGGGCUCAGAGUGAACGCUGUGCUGGUAGAGCCUAACACAUGCCAAGGUCGUAACGGCAGCACAGGAGAGCUUGCUCUCUGGGUGGCGAGCUGGCGGACGGGUGAGGAAUACAUCGGGAAUCUACUCUGUCGAUGGUGGGGAAUAACGUAGGGGGAAGACUAUACUGCGUAAUACCGUCGAUAUCUGAGCCUACGGGGGUGAAAAGCAAGUGGGGACCACUUCGUGGGC